GACGUAGGGCGCGAGCGUUGUCCGGAUUUAUUGGGCGUAAAGAGCUCGUAGGCGGUUUGUCGCGUCGUUCGUGAAAACUCACAGCUUAACUGUGAGCUUGCGGUCGAUACGGGCAGGCUAGAGCUCGGUAGGGGAGACUGGAAUUCCUGGUGUAGCGGUGAAAUGCGUAGAUAUCGGGAGGAACACCAGUGGCGAAGGCGACUUCCUGGCCUGUUCUUGACGCUGAGGCGCGAAAGCUAGGGUAGCAAACGGG
RNAcentral lists this ribosomal RNA (253 nucleotides) under uncultured bacterium. Its description in RNAcentral is "partial 16S ribosomal RNA". It matches the Rfam family "Bacterial small subunit ribosomal RNA", at positions 524 to 776 of the family's 1533-position model. The record is from RNAcentral.